Molecule: long non-coding RNA, 8047 nt
Organism: Peromyscus californicus insignis
Lineage: Eukaryota; Metazoa; Chordata; Mammalia; Rodentia; Cricetidae
Exons: 3
Source: RefSeq, a predicted model, not a curated record
AAGGCUGAAUGGAAAUCUUUAGGGUUGCAUCUGCCAGGGAAAACAGUGAUUCAAAAACAGUAUCACAACUGGAUUCCUCCAAUCCUGGAGGAACUGCAGAAAUUAGUGCCGCCAUCAAGGACUUGAAAGAUGCAGGGGUGGUGGUUCCCAGCACAUCUCCCUUUAACUUCCUUUCAGACAGCAGAGAAGACAGAUGGAUCAUGAAGAAUGACAGUUGACUAUUGAAAACCCAAUCAAGUAGUGACUCCAAUUGCAGUUGCUGCACCAGAGAUGUGGUGUCUUUACUUGGACAGGAUUAACACAUCUCCUGGUACAUGCAGAGCUAUUGAUCUGGCAAAUGCCUUUUUCUCAGUACUUUUUCCAUAAGGACCACCAUAAGCAAUUUGCUUUCAGUUGUCAAUAUACCUUUGUGCCAGCAAUAUACCUUUACAGUUUUACCUUCAAGGAUAUAUUAACUCUCCAGCACUGUGCCAUAAUUCAGUUUGGAGGAAUCACGAUCAUCUGUCUCUUCCACAAAAUAUCACAUGGGUUACUAUAUUGAUAAUAUUAUGCUAGUUGGAUCAAAUAAGCAGGAGGUAGAAAUCACUUUGGACUUGCUACUAACAUACAUGCAUACCAGAGGAUGGGAAAUAAAUAUACUGUUUUUCUAUGAAACCUCAUUAGUUUGUAAGUCAAUUAAACAGAUAACUAAAAACAAGAAAAAGGUGUGUGAAUAGAGGGCCCCACGUGGGUGUCCAUUGCUGCUCCUGGAAGAUAUGGGUUAUUAAAUAAAAAUCUUAGUACCAGGCCUGGGUUAUCUCCCUAGGAAUUAAUGGUCAGGGAAGCCCCAGAGGCUCCCAAACAAGACAGGCUCUUGCCAUUGCUUUUGGUUGUCUAUCACAACUAGAUGCUAUAGUGUAUAUGAGGAUGCCCAUAGUCUUACAUAUCUGAGUACUUGGUUCUCAGUUGGUGGAACUGUGUAGAAAGAAUUAGGAGGUGUGACCUUGCCCGAAGACGUGUUCACUGGGGGUGGGCUUUGAGGUUUUAAAAGACUCACACCAUUCCCAGUUUUAUCACUCUCUGCCUUGUGUUUAUGGAUCAGAUGUAAGAUACCGCUCCAUCUCUAUACCUGCUUGCAUUCUACCAUGCUCCUGGGCAUGAUGAUCAUGGACUAACAUCUUCAAAUUGUAAGCAAGUUGCCAAUAAGCUCUCCCUUUUACCAGUUGUCCUGGUAAUGAUGUCUCUUCACAGAAAUAGAAAAGUGAUUAUGGUAAGGCCUUGUUGCUGAAGAUGCCACACACUUUGGUUAUAGGGUAUACAGAGAAAUCAGUCUUGGAGUGACCAGAAAACUCUUUCCCUGUGGACUAGCUUUUUUAGUGUUGAAAGGUUUUAUGCAGGUCUUAUUCAGUGCUAGUCCCUGAAUGCUUAGUCUGACCUGCAAUACAAGAUGUGCUUUCUGGUGAAGUACUAGUAAGAAUUUUUGUAGAGAUAACUAAUGAUUCACUUGAUUAAAUCUGAGGGCUGCUCAGUGGAGAGAAUUCGUAUCUGCUACUGUAAAUCUGGUCAGAAAAAAUGAGUAGGAAAACAUAGGUCCUAGAAGAGAACCUAUUGAUAUGGUUUGUUAAAUAGUCAUACCAAACUGCCUUCUGAAUAAUUAGAUUUAUAUCCAUAGAUUUGUACUGUUCUCAAGCUGUUCCAAGAAGCUUCUUAUUGCAGUGGAGAGUGGUAAAUGCAAAGAUGUCUAGUUGUCCAAAGUGCUGAGAAUAAGUGAAUGAGAGUUCUCAUCUGUAAAUGGGACAUCUGUAUUGCUCAGUCACAGGUGGGACAUCCAUAUCAGUCCCUCUGCAAAUUGCAGGGAACAUCAUGGAGGAAGGGGCCGGAAGAAGAGAGAACUAGUGGGAAUGGGAAUAUCCUAAAGUGCUGUCCUUUGUGUGUGACAUGGCAGCUACACACAUGGACUUACAGCUGCAGUGGUUACCUGCACAAGAUCAAGGCAGUAACAGCUCCAGCAUGGCAAGGUUAGGAUCCCCAGGAGCCCUAGGGAAAUAUUGAAGUUGGUAGCUACUGCUAGAGGGAGCCGCCAUUUUUUAUUUGGAGGGGUUGCUACUGGUAGGUGGACCAUGCCCCAUGCAUGACCCCACACUUACAUGCAUAUGGGCAGUGUUAAUGUACUCAACGGAUUUUUUAAAAUGGGGUGGGGGAGGCAAGAAAUAUGAAGGGAGAGGUUUUGAGGAGUUGGAGGGAAAGAGUAGUCUGUGGAUUUGACAAAGUUGGCUGUAUUAUAUCAUUGUAUAAAAUUAUGUAAUUUUGAGAGAGAGAGAGAGAGAGCGAGAGCGCUAAAUUCAUCUGUGAUGGCCAGUUUUACACAUGAACUUGAAUAGAUGAAGUGAUGCAUAAGCGUCUGGCAAACAUUAUUUUGGUGUACAUCUGCAGGUGUGUUUACAGGUAGAUUAGCAGGUAAACUCACACACUGAAUAGAACAGAUUGCCUCCAAUAUGGGCAAGCAUUACCCAAACUGUUGAGGAGUCAAAUAAAAACACCGUCUCAGGAAGGUUCAAUUCUUUCUGUCUGGAUUGGGACAGACAUUCUCAUUCUCUUGGACAUUAGUGCUCCUGAUUCUCAUGUCUUCAGAUUUGGACUUUAUUCUUAGAUGUUAAGAAAACCAUCUCUUCUCCCUCUCUCUCACUCUUACCUGGAUUCAAGUUUCAGACUAAUUACACUACAAUUGUAUCUCUUGCUUCUUCGUCUUGGAGGCAAUGAAUAUUUUCAGAUUUCUUGGCCUCUGUGAUUACAUAACCCAACUCCUAUUUUACAUGUGCAUGUGUUUCUACACAUGUUCAUUUAGCUUAUCAGCUCUGUUUUCUUAAAGUACAGUAACACACUCUUAUUUCAGAAAGGAAGAAAAUAUUCUGGACUGUUUAGUGUUUCAUUAUAUUUUCUUGUUUCCCUUUCCAGUAUUUUUACUCAUCUUUGUGCUUUAUUUUAUUUAAAUAUUUGAAUUUUUGUCUUUUGUCAUUUGGCUGAUAUGUAGGGUAGUACUAAUGAAGACAUUAUAUUGAUAAUAGUUUUACUAUAUAAACAUUUGAAUGCAUACUAAUUGAGGCAUAGUACUGAAAUACAAGACAAAUUCUAAAGCUAAUAUUAACUAAUUUCUGUGAAACAGUAGCAUAUAUUGUAUAUGUAUUUAACCUUAAUCAAAGUUAUUAUAUUUAUAAGACAAACAUCUAUGCAAAAACUCUCCUAUGGGAAUUGAGGAGAUGGCUCCAUGGCUGAAAACACUGGUUCACAUUUAUGAGACUGAGCUCAAAUACCUGAUACUCACAUGAAAAGCUGGAUAUGGCAGCAUGCAUCUAUAACGCCAGCGCUGUGGGGGAUUGUUCUGGACAGGAGGCUCACUGGGACUUGAUGGCUGUCACCCUAGCUGAAAAUAAGUGGGGCCCAUGUUCAGCGAGAGUUCUUGUUACAAGAGAAGAAGUAAGAGGAUGAUAAAGCAGGACAGCAGAUAACUCCUGGCUUCCUUGUGUGCACACAUUGUGUGACCCCUUCCACAAAUUCUCACACUCUAAACACACACAUGCAUGCACACACACUCGUGCACACCAUACACUUGUUUCUUCAUACAAUAAAAUUUAUUUCUCCAUAUUAUAAAGGAAAUAAUUAUAUAACAAGCAUUUUUUAAAUAAAGAAACCUACUGUAUGUGAUGCACCCAUUGAAGUUUAAUGUUAUUGAUUGAAUUAGUAAUUUGUAGUUUCUAAUUUAGAAAGGAAUCUGUCUGCAGACAAGCCACUGGUAUAUUUUUUUGCCAUAAACAUUAGGCUAAUGUUUGUGAGGAUAAAUGAACACUGAGAUUGAAACACCCCUGGUUUAGACUUGUGAGUAAGUGCUUGCCAUACUUAUCGACUUGAAGGAGCCACAUGGAGCAAGGAAGUAACAGUGUUCAGUGAAGAACCUCAUCUAUAAUGUCUCAUGGAAAGUCUUCUGUUGUGAUCACUGCCAUGGUGGUUGAUGUAGAAUAAAUAUUCAGGGUAACUAAAAAACUUGCUUUUAUUAAGUGUCAAGAAAAAAAACAAGUAUAUUAAAAGGAAGAAUAGCAGCACAGUGAUGGUCAAUCUUGCUUAUCAAUGUGGUGGUAUUUAAAAUGACCAUGGAAACCAACCUCCAGGUACGGGAUCAGGCUAACUGAGGUGGAAUACUCACCAUGAAUGUCAAAGUACCAUUCCGUGAACUGAGAUUUUGGACUGAAUAAAAAUGAAAAGGCAAGCGGUACCCAAAACUUCAUCUUCAUCUGCUUCCUGAUUGGCCAGGUGCCUCAUAGUCCUGAAACCAUUCUUUUCCUGCCAUCAUGGACUAUGUCCUAUGAUACUAUCAGACGAAAUAAACCUUUUCUUUCUUAAGGUUGAAUUUGUCAUUUAUUUUGCUAUAGUAUUGUGGCAAAUAAAUAGUACACGCGAAUCAGAUAGAAUGUCUCUGCUAGCAAAUAGAGCAUGUUGGAUUUUCUUUAAGCUCUCUUUAAUUUGAAAUUUUCAGUGGAACAUGUAUGAAUUUGCAAUGGAUCUGCCACUUAUUAAACACAAUUCUGCCAGGUCAUUGUGAGAAAUAAUGGUUUUGUACCAUAUAGAAGUCAAGUAAUUUACAUUUGAAGGCCUACAUUUCAUGACUCUGACAUGGCUAUAUUAAUUCUCAUGACUCUGGCAUGCUUGGAUUAAUUCAUUGACAUUUCCAUGUCUUUCUAGUUGUUAUUUAAUGAAAAAGGAUAGGCUUACAAAAGUAAUCUGUGAAUCACACUUAUGAGAACAAAAAAUGUUAAGAAAUAUGAAUAAAAUCUGUUUUAAAAAAUUUGAGGUUAAGUCUUACAAGAUACUUAUUAGUACUAGGUUAAGUCUUAUCUGGCUUGUAGUGAUCUGUCUUUGUACUGAGAUCCUGUAUUAUAUCUCUUAUCAUUUAGUUCUCCGUUCAUUAAUCUUUUAAUACUCUAUGAUGGUAUGUUAGGUUCACAAUAAAAAUUAUCCCUAAAUUGUGAAGUAAUUAGAAAACUAAACAAAUAAUCAAGACAAUAGACAAAAUAAUAUUGUCGUCUCAUUACUGACAAACUUGAUAUAUGUAAAAUGUGAUUUGUAUUUAGUCUUACAGGCUUAAGGGAUUUCUAAAAUAUUACAAAUACAUGGUGGCAAAGCUACCAGCAUAUUAGCAAGUCUCCACGUGCUCUCCUGUUUUUCUGUAUGUUAAGAUGAACCAACUAAUUUUUGCAAUUGGUUUUGCUGUUUUUGUGCCGAAACAUUUAAAUGCUGUAGUACUAUCAUUUUUUCCCCUUUACCUUAGCAACACUGACAGAGAGCCAUAUGUUCAAGUGCACAAUAGCAAUAUGAAAGCCAACUGGACCUCCAAGUCAUUGCUUGGAAGUGAGCAGAUCUACGAAGCUGCUGAUCACAGGCUGUCUUUGAUGACUUGGGUUUCAUUUCCACAGCCUUUUUUAGUUCACCAUAUUGAAAGCACAUUGUUACUUGGUCCUUUGGCAAAAAAGCCUCUUCCUGUACACCAUUUAUGAUAUUGAGCAUCAGGGUAAAACACAUUAUCCCUAUCAUGAAAGAGAAUAAAUGGCUUGUUAACUGUAUCCAAUUACUUUAUAGAAAUUCAUAGAUCAUUGGUGGAGAUAGAGUGAAAAAGAGAUAACUGAAGAGUCAUAAGUAAAGAGCAUGAAAGUGGAGGGAAUUCAGCUCCCUUGAGAGUUUCUCAGUUGUUCUCACAACCCACUGAGGUUGACUAAUGAGCUCAUGGAUUACUAGUUAGGGUUGCUCCCCUUGGGGGAAGAGAGCCCACUAAGUUCCUUUCUGUCUCAGGCUAUGUCCCUUAUGUAAAUAACAGUUACUUCUGAUAGUUUCUUUGAGACUACAAGUGGUUAGUAUAAUUUUGCCUGAGAAAUUGAGCAAGGGGUCCAAUUUUAAAUUAACAUUUGAGUUACACUUGGAUGCACUCAAAAUUCAUUUGCAUGUCUAUUUCCUCUUCUAAAUUGUUUCCAGCCAUGUUUUUUUUUAAACACAGUCUAUCAAGAUUUCAUAAAAAUAUCAAAUAUCCAUACUAAGGUAUGUAAGCAAUAAGAUUCCCUACAUUUCAAAAUAUAUUUCUUAUGUAUAAUCAAUCAUUUAAGAGUAAUUGACGCUCACAGACAUUAAACCCUCUUACAAGUUAAAGCAACAGCAGAAAAAUACAAAGAAAUUAUUGUUUAAUAUUAGAUGCUCAUAAUAAUAUGCCUUGUUAUUAAAUUUCAAAGAAAUCAAACUCCAAAUUUUGUUAUAUUCUUCUCUUUUGAAUAUGAGCUGGUAAGAUUUCUUUACUCAGGAUGGUUUUGUCCUUAUUGCAUACUCACACUAUCGAAGAAAUCACAAGCUGAGAUAUUGAAUGUGAAAUCUCUAAUGUGAACACUGUCUUGUGGAAUAUAGGUGAGUAUAAAUCUAUUCGAAAAUGCCCUGAGUUUGGAAACCUUGAGACUCCCUCUACAACAUGAGACUCGGGUAUUGGAGUUAAAGAGAAUAUAAUAGAAAAAUAUACUUAUGAACCUUAAUCUUAUUAGGAUAUCAGAAUUUCAUUUUAUAUAUGUCAGUGGUAUGAAAUCUAAACAUAAUAAGAAUCAUCAUAUUAUAAGAUAAAUUUUGAUGUUAUACCAUGACAAUAAUAACUAAGGGAAAUAGGCUCAUGUUUCAUGGGUGCAUAUGAUGAGGGAUAUGUCAGACACUAUCUGUGGACAUUAAACUACUCAUCUCAGGGGUUGAAAAAAUUUAAAGAUCAUUAAUAACUCUGUUCUACAAUUUUUUUUUAAAAAAGAUUUCAUUUUGUGUGUAUAUGUCUUUUCAGCCUGUGUGUGGAUGUGUGUGUGUGUGUGUGUGUGUGUGUGUGUGUGUAUGCAUCUCUGUGAGGAUAUGUAUACCUGAAUGCUGAUGCCUAUGAAGGCUACUGGCAUCAGAUCUCCCUGGAACUUGAGUUACAUGUGGUUGUGAGAACUCAAUUUGGAGCUAUGGGUGCUGGGAACUGGGCUUGGAUCCUCUGCAUGAGGAUGUUCUUAAUUGCUGAGCCAUGUCUCCAGAUCCCACAUUUUCUUUCUUAUUUCAGAAAUCAGGAUGAAGAUAUUUGCUUCUUCAAAGACUGCUCUUCCCAUAGAAGACGGAAAACUUUAAGAGCUGAUCAUGAGGCAGCUCUCCGCUGUUGCUCCAGAGCUUGAUUGCAUGCCACCAUUCUCCCUGCCAUGAUGAUAAUGGAGUGCAGGGGCCCACAGAAGCUCUCUAGUGAGGCCGUACUCAAGGAGUUUCAUUACAUUGAAACUUCAUGGAGUCAGAAGGUCACAUUCACUGCCAAGACCUGAGAGGAUGAAGCACCGUGUGGAGGGAGAAAGAAAACAAAGAACAUCCAGAUCCCAGACACGUAACUAAAGAAAAUUAUUUGGAAGUGGAACCUGCCACCCCAGUGCUCCUGCGUGGAUUUGAUGUGAAACAAGCAAUGGAGACUUCCCCACGUUCCUGACCCACAAAACUUGUUAGCAAAAUAAAAGGGUAUAAGCCACGAAAUUGAGGGGUGGCUUGUUGUGUGACUGACGAUUGAUAAUUAAAGUAUAGCUGUGUUUGACAAACUAACAAAACUGAUAUCUUAGUAGGUUCCAAUCUGUGUUUUGAUUUGUUUUUGUUAUUUGAGAUCAUUUCUUCUGGUUUUGAUUUUCUUUGUUUAUGAGCCUGUCUCAAUAGAAUUGAAAAUUUUAGGGUCUCGGUUUCCAAAAUAUUGAGGCUCUUCGUUUUGAGAGAAAAGGGAAUUACAUUUAGUUCUCUGUCCCCAGAGGCUGUAGAAUGACACAUGUCCAACCCAUGGCCUCUGGGCCAGUUGUAGCUCAAGGAAUCCAUGAAUAUAGUUCAACCUCAAACUGAAAACUUUCUUAAAAACAUUAUGAAGUAUGGGGGUCUUUGUUGUGAAGUGUUUUUGCAAUUUUUCUUGACUUGACUGUGUAAUUCUCAAGUGUGAACUUCAUACCUGAUAAUACCCUGUCACAAUGUUGAACAUGUCCAUCACAAUAAAUACAUUCUAGAC